UACGUAGGGUGCGAGCGUUAAUCGGAAUUACUGGGCGUAAAGCGUGCGUAGGCGGUCCGCGAAGUCUGAUGUGAAAGCCCCGGGCUCAACCUGGGAACUGCAUUGGAAACUAACGGGCUCGAGUGUGGCAGAGGGGGGUGGAAUUCCACGUGUAGCAGUGAAAUGCGUAGAUAUGUGGAGGAACACCGAUGGCGAAGGCAGCCCCCUGGGAUGUGACUGACGCUCAUGUACGAAAGCGUGGGGAGCAAACAGG
This 253-nucleotide ribosomal RNA is filed under the name uncultured bacterium. Its description in RNAcentral is "partial 16S ribosomal RNA". It matches the Rfam family "Bacterial small subunit ribosomal RNA", at positions 524 to 776 of the family's 1533-position model. The record is from RNAcentral.